RNAcentral lists this ribosomal RNA (279 nucleotides) under Craspedostauros australis. RNAcentral describes it as "partial Bacterial large subunit ribosomal RNA". It matches the Rfam family "Bacterial large subunit ribosomal RNA", at positions 2195 to 2483 of the family's 2925-position model. The record is from RNAcentral. Lineage: Eukaryota; Bacillariophyta; Bacillariophyceae; Mastogloiales; Achnanthaceae.
AAAUACCGCCCUUGUGCCUGUUGCCUAACUUCUACUGAGUAGAAGAACAGUGGCUGCUGGGUAGUUUGACUGGGGUGGUCGCCUCCAAAAGAGUAUCGGAGGCUUUCAAAGGUCCGCUCAGUACGCUUGGUAACCGUACGUAGAGCGCAAUAGUAGAAGCGGGCUUGACUGUGAGACUGACUAGUCGAGCAGGGUCGAAAGACGGAUAUAGUGAUCCGGUGGUUCCGCAUGGAAGGGCCAUCGCUCAAAGGAUAAAAGGUACGCCCGGGAUAACAGGCU